GUCUAUGGCCACACCACCCUGAACGCACUCAAUCUCGUCUGAUUAGAAGCUAAGCAGAGUUAGGGCUGGUUAGUACUCGGAUGGGAGAACAAAAGGCCCCAGAGGCC
This is a ribosomal RNA of Fukomys damarensis (Damara mole-rat), 107 nucleotides long. The record is from Ensembl. NCBI's taxonomy places the organism in Eukaryota, Metazoa, Chordata, Mammalia, Rodentia, Bathyergidae.